Eriocheir sinensis (Chinese mitten crab) is the source of this 364-nucleotide long non-coding RNA. RefSeq lists it as uncharacterized. NCBI's taxonomy places the organism in Eukaryota, Metazoa, Arthropoda, Malacostraca, Decapoda, Varunidae. The transcript has 3 exons. The record is from RefSeq and is a predicted model, not a curated record.
UAACCUGACCUUCCUUACUGACAGCGUGGUGUGGCCCUGAUGGUGAUGAUGAUGGUGGUGAUGGUGAUGAAGGUGAUGAUAGUGUUUAACCUGACCUUCCUUACUGACAGCGUGGCGUGGCCGUGAUGGUGAUGGUGGUGGUGAUGGUGAUGAAGGUGAUGAUAGUGUUUAACCUGACCUUCCUUACUGACAGCGUGGCGUGGCCGUGAUGGUGAUGGUGGUGGUGAUGAAGGUGAUGAUAGUGUUUAACCUGACCUUCCUUACUGACAGCGUGGUGUGGCCGUGAUGGUGAUGGUGGUGGUGAUGGUGAUGAAGGUGAUGAUAGUGUUUAACCUGACCUUCCUUACUGACAGCGUGGUGUGGC